This 90-nucleotide unclassified non-coding RNA is filed under the name Pseudomonas granadensis. The record is from RNAcentral. Lineage: Bacteria; Pseudomonadati; Pseudomonadota; Gammaproteobacteria; Pseudomonadales; Pseudomonadaceae.
UGUAGGAGUGAGCCUGCUCGCGAUGACGGUGGGUCAGUCAGCAUCGAUGUUGAACAUUGGGCCGCUAUCGCGAGCAGGCUCACUCCUGCA